CAGGUCUUGACAUCCCACUGACCGGCUUAGAGAUAGGCUUUUCCCUUCGGGGACAGUGGUGACAGGUGGUGCAUGGUUGUCGUCAGCUCGUGUCGUGAGAUGUUGGGUUAAGUCCCGCAACGAGCGCAACCCUUGAUCUUAGUUGCCAGCAUUCAGUUGGGCACUCUAGGGUGACUGCCGGUGAUAAACCGGAGGAAGGUGGGGAUGACGUCAAAUCAUCAUGCCCCUUAUGACCUGGGCUACACACGUGCUACAAUGGACGAUACAAAGGGCUGCAAACCCGCGAGGGGGAGCCAAUCCCAUAAAAUCGUUCUCAGUUCGGAUUGUAGGCUGCAACUCGCCUACAUGAAGCCGGAAUCGCUAGUAAUCGUGGAUCAGCAUGCCACGGUGAAUACGUUCCC
RNAcentral lists this ribosomal RNA (401 nucleotides) under uncultured bacterium. RNAcentral's name for it is "bacterial SSU rRNA". It matches the Rfam family "Bacterial small subunit ribosomal RNA", at positions 975 to 1375 of the family's 1533-position model. The record is from RNAcentral.